Molecule: ribosomal RNA, 1047 nt
Filed under: uncultured crenarchaeote
Lineage: Archaea; Thermoproteati; Thermoproteota
Description: bacterial SSU rRNA
Rfam family: Archaeal small subunit ribosomal RNA
Source: RNAcentral
CGCGGGAUUGGACGGGGUGCAGCAGGCGCGAAAACUCUGCAAUAGGCGAAAGCUUGACAGGGUUACUCUGAGUGAUUUCCGUUAAGGAUAUCUUUUGGCAUCUCUAAAAAUGAUGCAGAAUAAGGGGUGGGCAAGUCUGGUGUCAGCCGCCGCGGUAAUACCAGCACCCCGAGUGGUCGGGACGAUUAUUGGGCCUAAAGCAUCCGUAGCCGGUUCUGCAAGUCCUCCGUUAAAUCCACCUGCUCAACAGAUGGGCUGCGGAGGAUACUAUAGAGCUAGGAGGCGGGAGAGGCAAGCGGUACUCAGUGGGUAGGGGUAAAAUCCUUUGAUCCAUUGAAGACCACCAGUGGCGAAGGCGGCUUGCCAGAACGCGCUCGACGGUGAGGGAUGAAAGCUGGGGGAGCAAACCGGAUUAGAUACCCGGGUAGUCCCAGCUGUAAACGAUGCAGACUCGGUGAUGAAUAGGCCUAGAGCUUAUUCAGUGCCGCAGGGAAGCCGUUAAGUCUGCCGCCUGGGGAGUACGGUCGCAAGACUGAAACUUAAAGGAAUUGGCGGGGGAGCACCACAAGGGGUGGAGCCUGCGGUUCAAUUGGAGUCAACGCCGGAAAUCUUACCGGGGGCGACAGCAGUGUGAAGGUCAAGCUGAAGACUUUACCAGACAAGCUGAGAGGAGGUGCAUGGCCGUCGCCAGCUCGUGCCGUGAGGUGUCCUGUUAAGUCAGGUAACGAGCGAGAUCCCUGCCUCUAGUUGCUACUAAUGUUCUUCGGAGUAUUAGGGCUAAUUAGAGGGACCGCCGCCGCUGAGGCGGAGGAAGGAGGGGGCUACGGCAGGUCAGUAUGCCCCGAAACCCUCGGGCCACACGCGGGCUGCAAUGGUAAGGACAAUAAGUUCCAAUCCCGAAAGGAGGAGGCAAUCUUCAAACCUUACCCCAGUUAUGAUUGAGGGCUGAAACUCGCCCUCAUGAAUAUGGAAUCCCUAGUAACCGCGUGUCACUAUCGCGCGGUGAAUACGUCCCUGCUCCUUGCACGAAGUCACCGAAUCACUAGU